Molecule: small RNA, 184 nt
Filed under: uncultured Prevotella sp.
Lineage: Bacteria; Pseudomonadati; Bacteroidota; Bacteroidia; Bacteroidales; Prevotellaceae
Description: Bacteroidales-1 6S-Bacteroidales RNA suggested
Rfam family: Bacteroidales-1 6S-Bacteroidales RNA suggested
Source: RNAcentral
CCGUAUCUGAAAGAUAGGGAUACUCAUCAAAUAAUUUAGAAAACACGAGAUGAUUUCUCCUGCCAAUGGCGGGCCACAAUAAGUCGGAAACGACAAAGCCUUAAGGCCGGUGGAUUACAAAGGCGGAGAGUCACUCAAACCUUAUUCGUUAAGGAGUUUUCAUCAUCUUCGGGUACGGUCUCUU